Colias croceus (clouded yellow) is the source of this 459-nucleotide long non-coding RNA. RefSeq lists it as uncharacterized. Lineage: Eukaryota; Metazoa; Arthropoda; Insecta; Lepidoptera; Pieridae. The record is from RefSeq and is a predicted model, not a curated record. The transcript is spliced from 2 exons.
GCAGGUGCGGUCAAAAUUGUAAAUUAUAACCUAGCUUUUUUCAAUUUUAUUUAGAUUUUCCUGUUUAAUAUUCGUAUAAAAUGCCAAAACCUUUGAGCAGUAGUGCGAGGGAGAUAAUUUACAAGGUUAUUAAGUUUUGUCAGCGUAAAAAAGCAUAACAAAGAGAUUUGGUGAACAAAAACAAAGUUACAGAAAGAGUAUCCGCCAUGACCGGUGUUUCAAGAGUGACUUUGGCUCGUAUUAAAAAAGAAGCUAGCGUAAAUAACGGAGUAUGGCGCACGCCUGGAAAAGGUCGUGGUUCAAAAAAUGGACGCCCUUUGAAAAUCAAUUAAGCCCUUUGAAAUUGAAUUGAAUUUAUCAAAGUCAUCCAACUUUGAUAAAUUCAAUUCAAUUUCUAAUUGCAUUGACUCUGCUUUGUUUUGUUUAUGCAAGUCAAAGUUAAUAAAUGUAUGUACAUUA